RNAcentral lists this ribosomal RNA (872 nucleotides) under Arthrobacter sp. AKB-2008-JO92. RNAcentral describes it as "bacterial SSU rRNA". It matches the Rfam family "Bacterial small subunit ribosomal RNA", at positions 8 to 892 of the family's 1533-position model. The record is from RNAcentral. Lineage: Bacteria; Bacillati; Actinomycetota; Actinomycetes; Micrococcales; Micrococcaceae.
AGAGUUUGAUCCUGGCUCAGGAUGAACGCUGGCGGCGUGCUUAACACAUGCAAGUCGAACGAUGAACCUCACUUGUGGGGGGAUUAGUGGCGAACGGGUGAGUAACACGUGAGUAACCUGCCCUUAACUCUGGGAUAAGCCUGGGAAACUGGGUCUAAUACCGGAUAUGACUCCUCAUCGCAUGGUGGGGGGUGGAAAGCUUUUUGUGGUUUUGGAUGGACUCGCGGCCUAUCAGCUUGUUGGUGAGGUAAUGGCUCACCAAGGCGACGACGGGUAGCCGGCCUGAGAGGGUGACCGGCCACACUGGGACUGAGACACGGCCCAGACUCCUACGGGAGGCAGCAGUGGGGAAUAUUGCACAAUGGGCGAAAGCCUGAUGCAGCGACGCCGCGUGAGGGAUGACGGCCUUCGGGUUGUAAACCUCUUUCAGUAGGGAAGAAGCGAAAGUGACGGUACCUGCAGAAGAAGCGCCGGCUAACUACGUGCCAGCAGCCGCGGUAAUACGUAGGGCGCAAGCGUUAUCCGGAAUUAUUGGGCGUAAAGAGCUCGUAGGCGGUUUGUCGCGUCUGCCGUGAAAGUCCGGGGCUCAACUCCGGAUCUGCGGUGGGUACGGGCAGACUAGAGUGAUGUAGGGGAGACUGGAAUUCCUGGUGUAGCGGUGAAAUGCGCAGAUAUCAGGAGGAACACCGAUGGCGAAGGCAGGUCUCUGGGCAUUAACUGACGCUGAGGAGCGAAAGCAUGGGGAGCGAACAGGAUUAGAUACCCUGGUAGUCCAUGCCGUAAACGUUGGGCACUAGGUGUGGGGGACAUUCCACGUUUUCCGCGCCGUAGCUAACGCAUUAAGUGCCCCGCCUGGGGAGUACGGCCGCAAG